RNAcentral lists this ribosomal RNA (408 nucleotides) under uncultured bacterium. RNAcentral describes it as "partial 16S ribosomal RNA". It matches the Rfam family "Bacterial small subunit ribosomal RNA", at positions 29 to 526 of the family's 1533-position model. The record is from RNAcentral.
AGUGAACGCUGGCGGCGUGCCUAAUACAUGCAAGUCGAGCGGAGUGGCGCGCGGGGGAGUAAUAUAUAGCUAAUCUUCCCUACACUAGAGGACAACCGUUUGAAAAGACUGCUAAUACUCUAUAGUGUAGGAUGAGGCUAUAUUGUAUCAGCUAGUUGGUGAGGGAAUGGCGCACCAAGGCUAUGACGCAUAACUGGUCUGAGAGGAUGAUCAGUCACCCUCGACGUGAGACACGGUCCAGACUCCUUGGGGAGGCAGCAGUAGUGACUAUUGGUCAAUGCGCGUAAGUCUAAAGCAGCAACGCGGCGUGGAGCAUGACCCUUUUCGGGGAGUAAACUCAUUUUGUUAGGGAAGCGUUACCUAACGAAUAAGCACCGGCUAACUCCGUGCCAGCAGCCGCGGUAAUAC